AGCAGCCGCGGUAAUUCCAGCUCCAAUAGCGUAUAUUAAAGUUGUUGCAGUUAAAAAGCUCGUAGUUGAAUUUCGGGAUCAAUAUGUCGGUCGUGCCUUCGGUACGUACUGGUAUCAUUGGUCUCUCCUUUCUGACGAACCAUGAUGUCAUUAAUUUGGUGUUAUGGGGAGUUAGGACUGUUACUUUGAAAAAUUAGAGUGUUUAAAGCAGGCUUUAGCUUGAAUACAUUAGCAUGGAAUAAUGAAAUAGGACGUUCGAACCUAUUUUGUUGGUUUCUAGGAUCAACGUAAUGAUUAAUAGGGAUAGUUGGGGGCAUUAGUAUUCAAUUGUCAGAGGUGAAAUUCUUGGAUUUAUUGAAGACUAACUACUGCGAAAGCAUUUGCCAAGGAUGUUUUCAUUAAUCAAGAACGAAAGUUAGGGGAUCGAAGACGAUCAGAUACCGUCGUAGUCUUAACCAUAAACUAUGCCGACUAGGGAUCGGAUGAUGUUAAUUUUUA
RNAcentral lists this ribosomal RNA (498 nucleotides) under uncultured Glomus. RNAcentral describes it as "SSU rRNA". It matches the Rfam family "Eukaryotic small subunit ribosomal RNA", at positions 569 to 1072 of the family's 1831-position model. Lineage: Eukaryota; Fungi; Glomeromycota; Glomeromycetes; Glomerales; Glomeraceae. The record is from RNAcentral.